UGACCACCUGGACAGUGGGUGGCGAGUGUGACAUUUGAAGGAAGAGGAGAUGAGGAGCCUGGAGAAGAAGAGGCCCAAGUGGCCCUUGCCACGACCACCUGUUGGAGAGCAAAUUGAAGCUCAGAGCGCAACUGCUCUCGCACCACACUGAGGGCAGGAAGAUUUGCAGAGGAGGGUUUUAGUGGGAUCCCAGUCUCUCUGGUCCCACCUCCGGUGGACCAGGAACGUGGCCGCGCCUUCGUUGCUCCUCAAAGACCAUCAGCCAAAAGCUGGAAUGAGGCUUGGAUGCAGGCAGCGAUGCUCUAUUUGUUGAGGAGCCAAUAAAACGCCUUUGACCACGGA
This is a long non-coding RNA of Ornithorhynchus anatinus (platypus), 342 nucleotides long. RefSeq lists it as uncharacterized. Lineage: Eukaryota; Metazoa; Chordata; Mammalia; Monotremata; Ornithorhynchidae. The transcript has 2 exons. The record is from RefSeq and is a predicted model, not a curated record.